AUAUUGCACGUAGAGUGUAGGUGAGAAGCUGCGUUCAGGUUAGAGCCGAGCGAAGCGAGACAGCGUUGCGCUUGUCGCAACGACCCGAAGGGUGAGGCCAAAGGCCGAAUAAUCCUGCACGACCCACCA
Molecule: regulatory RNA element, 129 nt
Organism: Providencia sneebia DSM 19967
Lineage: Bacteria; Pseudomonadati; Pseudomonadota; Gammaproteobacteria; Enterobacterales; Morganellaceae
Rfam family: RtT RNA
About the family: This family represents a bacterial cis-regulatory element known as RtT RNA. The exact function of RtT is unknown although it is thought that it may be involved in changing the cellular response in relation to amino acid starvation.
Source: Rfam